CAUAAACAAAAUAAAGGACAACAAUCACAUGAUCAUAACAAUAGAUGCAGAAAAAGCAUUUGAUAAAAUCCAGUACUCAUUUGUGACAAAACACUCCACAAAGUGGAAACAGAGGGAGCAUACCUCAACAUAAUAAAGGCCACAUACAAGAAACCUACAACCAACAUCAUAUUCAAUGGG
Phyllostomus discolor (pale spear-nosed bat) is the source of this 180-nucleotide long non-coding RNA. RefSeq lists it as uncharacterized. The record is from RefSeq and is a predicted model, not a curated record. The transcript has 2 exons. NCBI's taxonomy places the organism in Eukaryota, Metazoa, Chordata, Mammalia, Chiroptera, Phyllostomidae.